UCCCUCUCUCAGCUCUCUAGUAGCCUGCAGUGCCUAUUGUUCCCAUCUUUAUGUCCAUGUGUACCCAGUGUUUUGCUGCCAUUUGUAAGUGAGAACAUGUGGUAUUUGACUUUCCGUUCUGCAUUAAUUCACUUAGGAUAAUGGCCUCCAGCUCCAUGCAUGUUGCUGCAGAGAACAUGAUUUUAUAAUUUUUUAUGGCUGUGUCAUAUUCCGUAGUGUAUAUGUACAGCAUUUUCUUUAUCUAAUCCACCAUCGAUGGGCACCUAGGUUGAUUCCAUGUCUUUGCUGUUGUGAACAGUGCUAUGAUGAACAUAUGAGUGCAUGUGUUUUUUUGGUAGAAUGACUUAUUUUCCUUUGGGUAUAUGUCCAGUGAUGGGAUUUCUGGGUCAAAUGAGAGUUCUAUUUUUAGUUCUUCAAGAAAUUUCCAUAUUGCUUUCCACAGUGGCUGAGUAAAUUUACAUUCCCUCUAACACAGUGUAUAAGCAUUCCCUUUUCUCUGCAGCCUCAACAACAUCUUUCAUUUUUUGACUUUUUGGUAAUAGCCAUUCUGACUGGUGUGAGGUGGUAUCUCACGGUGGUUUUGAUCUGCAUUUCUCCGAUGAUUAGUGAUGUUCACAACAGGAUGCAAUUGGAGAAACUGGUUGUCCUAUUAAGGCUUUGACUGGAAGGGGAUAUGCUUCCUUUUAAGGAGUCAAGCUCAACUUGCAGAACUGAGAAAAGCCCCUUGGGAAACCUGGCCUCACACCCUUGUCUACACAGUCCCCAUACAGGAUUCCUAACCUGUGGAUCCAGCUCAACUAUGAUCUUUUUUGAGAAACCUCUGAUGGUCUGAGUUCUACCAAUUCUGCUACUCAUUAGUGGUAAGUUGCUUAGUGUCUCUGAGCCUUAGAGUCUGCACCUGUGAAAUGGAGACGAUAUCUACCUUGCAGGAUUGUUAUAAGGAUUGAGAUGAUGCUUAUUAAGUUAUCUGGUCCACAGUAGGUACUCAAUAAAUGGCCUUAAUUUUGAUGUGCUGAUCCCAUGUUAGGAGCUAUGGAAACUGAUGAACGAGACAGUCCCUGCCCCAGGAAGCCUCAGACUAGUACAUCACUGCCUGCUCUUGGCUCCUCUUGCCCCUUAGUGAGCUGAAGCAGAUUUUCAUAAAUGUAGAUGGAAACUUUUCUAGAUGUUUUUAGAUACUGACACCAUUAUGUCAUCCAGGUUCUCAGUUAACAUUUGAUUUAUUAACUAAUCCUGAAGAGCACCAGCACAGGUGACUGUCUUUAUUUAUUUAUUUAUUUAUUUAGAGACGGAGUCUUGCUCUGUUGCCCAGGCUGGAGUGCAGUGGUGUGAUCUCAGCUCACUGAAAACUCUGCCUCCCAGGUUCAAGCGAUUCUCCUGCCUCAGCCUCCCAAGUAGCUGGGAUUACAGGUGCCUGCCACUACACCUGACUAAUUUUUUGUAUUUUCAGUAGAGACAAGGUUUCGCCAUGUUGGCCAGGUUUGUCUCAAACUCCUGACCUCAAGUGAUCCACCUGCCGCAGCCUCCCAAAGUGUUAGGAUUACAGGCGUUAGCCACUGUGCCCAACUGUGACUGUCUUAUACUUAGUCACAAAAUGAUUUGUCCUGAAGCUUAAAGGGGCCAUAGGAAUAACUUCA
Molecule: long non-coding RNA, 1637 nt
Organism: Papio anubis (olive baboon)
Lineage: Eukaryota; Metazoa; Chordata; Mammalia; Primates; Cercopithecidae
Source: Ensembl